GAGUGAGAUCCAGUCUCUUGUCAAGCUCAACUUAAAGCUUCUAAACAGAGAUAAACAAUUAGAAAUUAAUGCAUUCAAGGAAGUUGCAAGGCUUGCCACGCAUACCAUUUUGGCUGCUUGUGGUUUUGGGCACUCAAGGCAUGCUGUCCACUCUGUCCCAAGUUGUGCGUGCGGACAUUCUGAACGCACUCAGCAACUCCGUAAGUCCACUCUAAUGCCAAAUUCAUGCCGAGAAUGCUUUUAUGUCUUUGUAAAGGAUGUUGUUAGCUCAAUUCUGUCCGAGAAAGUAUCCCAUGCUAAGUCAUGAGAAAUUCUCUCAUAAAAUAUUGGAACUGCCAAUCUACAGAGUGCUUUUCCUUUCCUAUACUUCUCAUUUCACUGAAGACACCUGAAUCUUCUUUUUGCCUUCUCUCUAUACCACGCUAGAGACAUUAGCACAAGUCAUCUUGGCAGCACAUAUGAGCAAGAUGCCUUCUCCACCUUUCUUUCUGUGUAGCCAACUAGUUUGGGAUUUAGACUUAGUUGUUGUUGUU
This 533-nucleotide unclassified non-coding RNA is filed under the name Hevea brasiliensis (rubber tree). Lineage: Eukaryota; Viridiplantae; Streptophyta; Magnoliopsida; Malpighiales; Euphorbiaceae. The record is from RNAcentral.